GAUGAACGCUGGCGGCGUGCCUAAUACAUGCAAGUCGAGCGAACAGACGAGGAGCUUGCUCCUCUGACGUUAGCGGCGGACGGGUGAGUAACACGUGGAUAACCUACCUAUAAGACUGGGAUAACUUCGGGAAACCGGAGCUAAUACCGGAUAAUAUCUUGAACCGCAUGGUUCAAUAGUGAAAGACGGUUUUGCUGUCACUUAUAGACGGAUCCGCGCCGCAUUAGCUAGUUGGUAAGGUAACGGCUUACCAAGGCAACGAUGCUUAGCCGACCUGAGAGGCUGAUCGGCCACACUGGAACUGAGACACGGUCCAGACUCCUACGAGAGGCAGCAGUAGGGAAUCUUCCGCCAUGGGCGAAAGCCUGACGGAGCAACGCCGCGUGAGUGAUGAAGGUCUUCGGAUCGUAAAACUCUGUUAUUAGGGAAGAACAAAUGUGUAAGUAACUAUGAACGUCUUGACGGUACCUAAUCAGAAAGCCACGGCUAACUACGUG
RNAcentral lists this ribosomal RNA (497 nucleotides) under uncultured bacterium. RNAcentral describes it as "partial 16S ribosomal RNA". It matches the Rfam family "Bacterial small subunit ribosomal RNA", at positions 28 to 507 of the family's 1533-position model. The record is from RNAcentral.